This is a long non-coding RNA of Papaver somniferum (opium poppy), 2374 nucleotides long. RefSeq lists it as uncharacterized. Lineage: Eukaryota; Viridiplantae; Streptophyta; Magnoliopsida; Ranunculales; Papaveraceae. The record is from RefSeq and is a predicted model, not a curated record. The transcript has 2 exons.
ACACCCUCAGUUCCUAAAACUGAGGGGUGCAAAGCUAUGUGCUUAAUGGCGAAUGUCUCACUUAAUGGAACCGAGCAGCUUCGGGACAUACUGUGAGCUUCUCUUUCUCUCCGUUUAUUUUUGAUUUGUCGUUUUUCUUUCUUAUUUAGUUAUUUUAUUGGAAACACUGUUGGAAGUUUGGUACACAACAAGGCAGUGAUGCUCCCUAUGUAGUUCAGCUACAACUACUGGAACAUAGCCAAGUCUGCUUCUUUGGUAAAGUUUCACCGAAAUCAACCCUGUUUAGCAUUUGUUAUAUUGCUGACUAAAUUAUUGCUACUUAGCUUUAUUCUUUCUUUCAUAAUCAAAUCUUGUGUUUAAUAUGUUUGAGAAAGAAGAAAACAAGUAACAUGUCAAAUCAAAAGGUGCACAUUCUUAACACUCUCAAGAUAUACUUAAUUUGCCCUUAUAUUUCUAGAACGGUGGAGUUUCUUUUUUGCUUGUUACAUGUCUAUCAUUUUGUUCCUUUGAGGUAUUGUGGUACACAUUCCUAACUCUCUCAGUGUAUACUUAAUUUGCCCUUAUAUUUCUAGAAAGCCAGAGUUUCUUUUUUUGCUUGUUACAGAUCUAGCUUUCUGCCCCUUUUUUUGGUGAGUGUCAGGUUAAUACAUUUUUUCCUUUACAUAGACAUUUAGUAGUUAUUAUCUCGUGGAUAAACAAUUGCAGGAAAAACAAAGAAGGUCUCUUGAGGCAGUUUUUUGUUUCAAAUAAAAAAGGUAAUCAUCUGUCAUUAACUCUAUUGCUUACCAUAUUCUGCAUUGCUUUCUUUCUAACUUGAUUUUCGGAGUAUCUUUUAUUGUUUUUGCAGGUCUUUCCCUUAAUUAUUCGUAGCUCUAACUUUAUGUUUAUUAUGUAUUGCAUAAAAUUGUUUCUAACUUGAGUGUCGGAGUUUUUCUGUUUUUUGUUUUUUGCAGGUCUUGCCUUUGUAUUCCUAACUGUAAUUCCAUGUUUAUUAACCUUAACUCUACAUUUAUUAUGUUUUGCAUAAAAUUGUUUCUAACUUGAGCAUCAGAGUAUCUUUUUUGUUUUUUGCAGGUCUUGCCAUUGCAUUCCUAACUCUAACUCUAUGUUUAUUAACCCUAACUCUAUGUUUAUUAUGUUUUGCAUAAAAUUGUUUCUAACUUGAGCUCCGGAGUAUCUUUUUUUUUUAUUUGCAGGUCCUGCAUUUGUAUUCCUAACUAUAUAACUCUAUGCUUAUUAACUCUACGUCUAUUAUGUUUUGCACAAAAUUGUUUCUAACUUGAGCGUCGGAGGAUCUUUUUAGUUUUUUGCAGGUCUUGCCUAUGUAUCCCAAUUCAAGUAGCAGAGUUGUUGAAACGGAAUGCUGGUGCCUUGUGGGGAACGUCAUCUGUUUGGCUUUUGAUCAGUUUGCCUCUAGGGUAUGUCUGACUUCAAAGGAUACAAAUGAAGGCAGAUUAGUCCUGUGAAUCAUGUACUAGUGAGAUCCUCCUCUUCCCUAAAGGAGGCUGCAUCUCGGCUGAAAAGGUAGUGCCUGCUUAUUUGGAGGCCACUCAUUAGGCUGGUGCCUGGUGGAGAAUGCUUGUCAUUUGACCAGUCUGUUGCAAGUUACGUUCAAACCAAAGUAACUCAUUUUGAGCUUGCUUAUUUGGCUUUCCUUGUAUGUUUUUCCUUAAUGACCUUGGAUUUGAGAUGAAGAGGCAUUUGGGUAGGUGAAGGUGAGAUAAUGUGAUGAGGUCACUGUCCUCCUUUAAUUAGCUGUCACUAGAUGUAGAGGGUAUGCUCAGUAUGCUGUUUGUUUUUUUAGGAAUGAACUUGUUGGCCAAAAUCUAUGAAGAACUUUGCUCUUUCUCUCAGGCAUUUCCAAAUGUCUGCAAUUCCUAUUUAUCUGAUUCCAUUGUUUAUGUUUUAGGCUUUUUACGUCAAAGAUGUGCCAGGAUAUUUAGUAGGAUGUGAAAAGUGCAAUGAUGCGGUGACACUUGAUAAGCCAAGCCUGGUGGUCAUUGAAAGAUGAAUUGGUGGCUCCAGAGGAUCUUUGCCUUGCGUAUAUAUUGUUUCUGAUAAAGCUCCUAGCAAUAUUGUGAGUAGGCAGGGUAGUGUAUUAUCCGCUACGAAUUCUAUUGUGGUUCACGUGAAGCUGACAUCAUGCCUUCCUGCUGCAACCUCCUUGACUCCAAAAUUAUGACCGAGGGUGAUGUUGUGGGGGAGAAUAGGCAGUGCCUGAAGAAAUUUGGUUUUUUAAAGGUUUUAUGAACUAUUUGAAGAACUCUAAGUUUAAACUUCCUCACCGAGUUUCAAAACCCUACUCGUUCAAUCACUGCUUUCUUUUCCUCUCAUAUGUAUCUAAAAUCCGGAACAAUGGGUUUCAAUUCACCCA